GCCCCAAAAAGUAAAACCAGGGGAGGGAGACUGAGGCAGUAUAGCCAAGGCCUUGGAACAGCGUAAUUAGACAGCCAGCUUUGAAAAUGGGAAGGAAUUUACAUAGAAAGAAGGCGGGCAAAUAAUGAAGUUAUGACAGAACCCUGUUUUUAUAAGUGCCUGAAGGGCAGCUGGAAGGGACCUGGGUCUGGCCUCUGUGGGACAUUAAGAGGGCAUGAGUGUAAUCAGCUUCCAGUGAGGUCUCUAUCAAAUGAGGGCCUGGACUCUGACUGAUGCCUGGAAAGUUAGCCUCAAGGAGAGCUUUCCUCUCAUCAAAAAGUCAAGUGGCUGGAAGAGAUGGCUUCUGGCACUACACACCCAGGAGCUGGCUAUUUUCGAGAGUAGGAGGGGUUUCCCUGGGUGACAGGAAGGAUUGAAGUGGAGGAGAAAGAGUGUCAGGAAGAGAGCCAAGGACGAGGCUGGGCCAUGGCCAAUAUUCCAGGAUUGUUGGGACAGUGAACAGAUUUGAAGAAGUAA
Molecule: long non-coding RNA, 516 nt
Filed under: Homo sapiens (human)
Lineage: Eukaryota; Metazoa; Chordata; Mammalia; Primates; Hominidae
Description: HSALNT0028528
Source: RNAcentral